This 882-nucleotide ribosomal RNA is filed under the name Triticum aestivum (bread wheat). RNAcentral's name for it is "partial small subunit ribosomal RNA". The record is from RNAcentral. Lineage: Eukaryota; Viridiplantae; Streptophyta; Magnoliopsida; Poales; Poaceae.
AUGGACAAGUUCCACGACAGGCAGUACGUGUGGCUGCGGAGCCGCGUGCACGGCACGUACCUCCACGCCAACAUCGACGGGAAGAGCGUCUCCCUCCACCGGCGCCGCGCAGCGCUGAGGGCGGCCUGGGCGGUGCACAUCCACCAAGGCGACGAGCCGUACCUGCUCCUCUACAACGCCGCCAACGGCCGCUACCUCGCCGCCACGGCCACGCGGGCGCCGCCCGGCCACAUCGGCUUCCGCGCCGAGCAGCGCGACUACGACCAGCCGCAGUUGCCGGCCAUCAUGUGGCGGGCCGCCGAGACGGGAUUCAGGGACGACGUCCUGCUCCGCAACGUCGGCGGCCGCUACCUCCGCGCCAACGGCAAGUACACUGGCAAGUACCUAAGCCUGAAGAACGUCACCGUCGACGGCAUCAACAACGUCAGCACCAUGAUGUACUGGACCGUCGAGCCUAUCCCUCUCAGAGACCCGAACAGUCCGCUCGGCCUAGCUCCGCCGACUCUGGGCCGCAGACCCCGAGAGCUCCCCGACAUGCUGGGACGCGAGCGAGGGGUGCGGCGGCUGAUCCGGUUCGUGCGAGCGAGCGCCGAGGGGGCCGUCGCCGAGGACGGCUGGUCCGAGUUCCAUUUCACGGGGAGGUCCGUGUGCGAGCUGAGGAACGAGCUGUACAGCCGCAUCGGCCCCCACCGCCACCCCCACCCCGACAUCCUCCCCUUCGACAUCGCCAUGUGCGUCCGAGCGGGCCGCUACGGGCGUUUGAUCCCGCUCGUCGUCAACCUGCCCCACGGACGCAACGGCGAGACCCUCCAGAUUGUCCUCUGCCUCUCCAGGACCCCUGCCUAUGGUAGGCUGCGAUACCCGGAUGUCCACGCAGAGUAG